GACGAACGCUGGCGGCAUGCCCAAUACAUGCAAGUCGAGCGAACAGAUGAAGUGCUUGCACUUCUGACGUUAGCGGCGAACGGGUGAGUAACACGUAAGGAAUCUACCUAUAAGCGGGGGAUAACAUUCGGAAACGGGUGCUAAUACCGCAUAAUAUCUUCUUCCGCAUGGAAGAAGAUUGAAAGACGGCUCUGCUGUCACUUAUAGAUGACCUUGCGGUGCAUUAGUUAGUUGGUGGGGUAACGGCCUACCAAGACGAUGAUGCAUAGCCGACCUGAGAGGGUGAUCGGCCACAUUGGGACUGAGACACGGCCCAAACUCCUACGGGAGGCAGCAGUAGGGAAUCUUCCGCAAUGGGCGAAAGCCUGACGGAGCAAUGCCGCGUGAGUGAAGAAGGCCUUCGGGUCGUAAAACUCUGUUAUAAGAGAAGAACAAAUUGUAGAGUAACUGCUACAGUCUUGACGGUAUCUUAUCAGAAAGCCACGGCUAACUACGUG
RNAcentral lists this ribosomal RNA (497 nucleotides) under uncultured bacterium. Its description in RNAcentral is "partial 16S ribosomal RNA". It matches the Rfam family "Bacterial small subunit ribosomal RNA", at positions 28 to 507 of the family's 1533-position model. The record is from RNAcentral.